ACAGUCAACCGCUGGAGAGGAGUCGGUGUGCCUUGCUGUUCCAAUAACAAAGAAUCAUGAGGAUCUUAGCCCUUGGUCUCGCGCUCGUCAUCGUGACUGUUCUUGCAAGACUUCCUGCUUCGUACGGUGAGCCAUUUGGAGACGACCAUUCCGGAUAUUAUGCCAGAAGCGGUCCUCUAGGUUACGGCCGUUCGGUAUCGGCACAGGAUCUCCAGUCACGAGGCAUCCUCGACGUUGCUAAAACAAUAUGCGGACUCGUCGUUAAACUCGGUGGAUAAAUCUACGAAAGCCAAAGGCACUGGACGUACGAAGAUGAAGAAAACACAACAAGGGGUGGUGGAAUUGACAAGAAAAACUGAGACAAUAAAUAUCAACUGGACGGA
Molecule: long non-coding RNA, 383 nt
Organism: Ornithodoros turicata
Lineage: Eukaryota; Metazoa; Arthropoda; Arachnida; Ixodida; Argasidae
Exons: 5
Source: RefSeq, a predicted model, not a curated record